UAGGGAAUCUUCGGCAAUGGACGAAAGUCUGACCGAGCAACGCCGCGUGAGUGAAGAAGGUUUUCGGAUCGUAAAACUCUGUUGGUAGAGAAGAACGUUGGUGAGAGUGGAAAGCUCAUCAAGUGACGGUAACUACCCAGAAAGGGACGGCUAACUACGUGCCAGCAGC
Molecule: ribosomal RNA, 169 nt
Filed under: uncultured bacterium
Lineage: Bacteria
Description: partial 16S rRNA
Rfam family: Bacterial small subunit ribosomal RNA
Source: RNAcentral